AGCCCUGUAGUGUAGUGGCCAAUCAUCUGGGAUUUUGGGUCCUGGGACCCAGGUUCGAAUCCUGGCGGGGCUA
Molecule: transfer RNA, 73 nt
Filed under: Nanobdellota archaeon
Lineage: Archaea; Nanobdellati; Nanobdellota
Description: tRNA-Gln
Rfam family: tRNA
About the family: Transfer RNA (tRNA) molecules are approximately 80 nucleotides in length. Their secondary structure includes four short double-helical elements and three loops (D, anti-codon, and T loops).
Source: RNAcentral